Penaeus chinensis is the source of this 184-nucleotide small nucleolar RNA. RefSeq annotates it as small nucleolar RNA SNORA23. The transcript has a single exon. NCBI's taxonomy places the organism in Eukaryota, Metazoa, Arthropoda, Malacostraca, Decapoda, Penaeidae. The record is from RefSeq and is a predicted model, not a curated record.
UGUGUGUGUGUGUGUGUGUUGUGUGUGUGUGUGUUGUGUGUGUGUGUGUGUGUGUUGUGUACACAAACACACACACACACACACACACACACAUAUAUAUAUAUAUAUGUGUGUGUGUGUGUGGUGUGUGUGUGUGUUGUGUACACAAACACACACACACACACACACACACACACACACACAU